Molecule: ribosomal RNA, 164 nt
Filed under: Eragrostis harpachnoides
Lineage: Eukaryota; Viridiplantae; Streptophyta; Magnoliopsida; Poales; Poaceae
Also listed under: 3 other names
Description: Harpachne harpachnoides 5.8S ribosomal RNA
Rfam family: 5.8S ribosomal RNA
About the family: 5.8S ribosomal RNA (5.8S rRNA) is a component of the large subunit of the eukaryotic ribosome. It is transcribed by RNA polymerase I as part of the 45S precursor that also contains 18S and 28S rRNA.
Source: RNAcentral
CACAUGACUCUCGGCAACGGAUAUCUCGGCUCUCGCAUCGAUGAAGAACGUAGCAAAAUGCGAUACCUGGUGUGAAUUGCAGAAUCCCGUGAACCAUCGAGUUUUUGAACGCAAGUUGCGCCCGAGGCCUUUUGGUCGAGGGCACGUCUGCCUGGGCGUCACGC